RNAcentral lists this ribosomal RNA (194 nucleotides) under uncultured bacterium. RNAcentral describes it as "partial 16S ribosomal RNA". It matches the Rfam family "Bacterial small subunit ribosomal RNA", at positions 337 to 525 of the family's 1533-position model. The record is from RNAcentral.
GCCUACGGGAGGCAGCAGGGGGAAUAUUGGACAAUGGGCGAAAGCCUGAUCCAGCCAUGCCGCGUGUGUGAAGAAGGUCUUCGGAUUGUAAAGCACUUUAAGUUGGGAGGAAGGGUUGUAGAUUAAUACUCUGCAAUUUUGACGUUACCGACAGAAUAAGCACCGGCUAACUCUGUCCAGCAGCCGCGGUAAUG